GUGAGGCGUGUGAUGGGAAACCUUCCCGCACGGUUCGGAGAGCACUGAAUUAGAAUGAGAGGUUUACCACCACAUCAUUGCAUGCAAGGGGAGCUCGCUCGAUUCGCAGAUUGGUCCGACUCGUAAUUCACUUUUGACUCGUGU
Ipomoea nil (Japanese morning glory) is the source of this 144-nucleotide non-coding RNA. NCBI's taxonomy places the organism in Eukaryota, Viridiplantae, Streptophyta, Magnoliopsida, Solanales, Convolvulaceae. The record is from Rfam.